This 370-nucleotide ribosomal RNA is filed under the name uncultured bacterium. RNAcentral describes it as "bacterial SSU rRNA". It matches the Rfam family "Bacterial small subunit ribosomal RNA", at positions 527 to 896 of the family's 1533-position model. The record is from RNAcentral.
GUAGGGGGCAAGCGUUAUCCGGAUUUACUGGGUGUAAAGGGAGCGUAGACGGCACGGCAAGCCAGAUGUGAAAGCCCGGGGCUCAACCCCGGGACUGCAUUUGGAACUGCUGAGCUAGAGUGUCGGAGAGGCAAGUGGAAUUCCUAGUGUAGCGGUGAAAUGCGUAGAUAUUAGGAGGAACACCAGUGGCGAAGGCGGCUUGCUGGACGAUGACUGACGUUGAGGCUCGAAAGCGUGGGGAGCAAACAGGAUUAGAUACCCUGGUAGUCCACGCCGUAAACGAUGACUGCUAGGUGUCGGGCGGCAAAGCCAUUCGGUGCCGCAGCUAACGCAAUAAGCAGUCCACCUGGGGAGUACGUUCGCAAGAAUG